Molecule: long non-coding RNA, 465 nt
Filed under: Homo sapiens (human)
Lineage: Eukaryota; Metazoa; Chordata; Mammalia; Primates; Hominidae
Description: non-protein coding lnc-GMNN-4:1
Source: RNAcentral
UCAAUUUGGCCUUCAAACGCUAUAUCCCCUAUUAUAGAGCUCACUUUCCAUGACCACGCUCUUAUAAUUAUUUUCCUAAUUAGUUCCCUGGUCCUAUACAUUAUUUUCCUAAUACUCACCAAAAAAUUAACUCAUACUAGCAUCAUAGAUGCCUAAAAAAUCGAGACUGUCUCAACUAUUUUACCUGCCAUUAUCUUAAUUUUAAUUGCCCUCCUAUCCUUACGUGUUCUGUACAUAACAGAUGAGGUUAACAACCCUUCUAUCACUGUCAAAGCAAUUGGCCACCAAUGAUAUUGAAGCUAUGAAUAUACAGGCUAUGAAGAAUUAGUCUUCGAUUCUUAUAUAGUCCCAACAGCAGACUUAAAGCCAGGAAAACUUCGAUUCCUGGAUGUUGAUAACCAAACAAUUCUCCCAGUAGAGAUCCCCAUCCGUAUAUUAAUCUCAUCCGAAGAUGUCCUGCACUCA